UGACGGGGGGCCCGCACAAGCGGUGGAGCAUGUGGUUUAAUUCGAAGCAACGCGAAGAACCUUACCAGGUCUUGACAUCCCGAUGCCCCGCUCUAGAGAUAGAGUUUUACUUCGGUACAUCGGUGACAGGUGGUGCAUGGUUGUCGUCAGCUCGUGUCGUGAGAUGUUGGGUUAAGUCCCGCAACGAGCGCAACCCUUAUUGUUAGUUGCCAUCAUUCAGUUGGGCACUCUAGCGAGACUGCCGGUAAUAAACCGGAGGAAGGUGGGGAUGACGUCAAAUCAUCAUGCCCCUUAUGACCUGGGCUACACACGUGCUACAAUGGCUGGUACAACGAGUCGCAAGUCGGUGACGGCAAGCUAAUCUCUUAAAGCCAGUCUCAGUUCGGAUUGUAGGCUGCAACUCGCCUACAUGAAGUCGGAAUCGCUAGUAAUCGCGGAUCAGCACGCCGCGGUGAAUACGUUCCCGGGCCUUGUACACACCGCCCGUCACACCACGAGAGUUUGUAACACCCGAAGUCGGUGAGGUAACC
This 530-nucleotide ribosomal RNA is filed under the name Streptococcus gordonii. RNAcentral's name for it is "bacterial SSU rRNA". It matches the Rfam family "Bacterial small subunit ribosomal RNA", at positions 911 to 1440 of the family's 1533-position model. The record is from RNAcentral. Lineage: Bacteria; Bacillati; Bacillota; Bacilli; Lactobacillales; Streptococcaceae.